GGGGGUGUAGCUCAUCUGGUAGAGCGCGUGCUUAGCAUCUCUGAAUAUAUCGCUCAUCCCGGGUGAUUGUCAGUACAAUGUUCCUGCACGAGGUACUGGGUUCGACUCCCAGCUCCUCCA
Non-coding RNA from Coniochaeta sp. PMI_546, 120 nucleotides. NCBI's taxonomy places the organism in Eukaryota, Fungi, Ascomycota, Sordariomycetes, Coniochaetales, Coniochaetaceae. The record is from the annotation of a GenBank genome assembly.